CAUCUUUCAUCAAAAGUAGCAUGGUUCAGAAUCAUUCUUUGUCAAAUAGGUUAGCUGCUGAGGACCUUUUUGAGUGGAAGUGGAGUUUGAGACCUGGGUGCCAGAGAUGACUUCAGGAAUUGUAAUUGAUGGAAAAAGGAAGAUCUUGACGCCUUUAAGAAAGAGAAAACUUUGAGAUCUGAUUGUGCAAAGAAAAUUUUCAUCAAAGGAGCAAGAAAUUCUUCAUAACUUCAACACAACAUGGCCUUUGGGAACAGAAUAAAACACAAAUAAGGAAAGGCGGAAAAUGAUUGACACAUGCACUGUUCUUGGUU
Rattus norvegicus (Norway rat) is the source of this 314-nucleotide non-coding RNA. NCBI's taxonomy places the organism in Eukaryota, Metazoa, Chordata, Mammalia, Rodentia, Muridae. The record is from RefSeq and is a predicted model, not a curated record.